This 856-nucleotide ribosomal RNA is filed under the name uncultured bacterium. Its description in RNAcentral is "SSU rRNA". It matches the Rfam family "Bacterial small subunit ribosomal RNA", at positions 524 to 1381 of the family's 1533-position model. The record is from RNAcentral.
UACGAAGGGACCUAGCGUAGUUCGGAAUUACUGGGCUUAAAGAGUUCGUAGGUGGUUGAAAAAGUUGGUGGUGAAAUCCCAGAGCUUAACUCUGGAACUGCCAUCAAAACUUUUCAGCUAGAGUAUGAUAGAGGAAAGCAGAAUUUCUAGUGUAGAGGUGAAAUUCGUAGAUAUUAGAAAGAAUACCAAUUGCGAAGGCAGCUUUCUGGAUCAUUACUGACACUGAGGAACGAAAGCAUGGGUAGCGAAGAGGAUUAGAUACCCUCGUAGUCCAUGCCGUAAACGAUGUGUGUUAGACGUUGGAAAUUUAUUUUCAGUGUCGCAGCGAAAGCGAUAAACACACCGCCUGGGGAGUACGACCGCAAGGUUAAAACUCAAAUGAAUUGACGGGGACCCGCACAAGUAGUGGAGCAUGUGGUUUAAUUCGAAGAUACGCGCAGAACCUUACCAACACUUGACAUGUUCGUCGCGACUUUAAGAGAUUAAAGUUUUCGGUUCGGCCGGACGAAACACAGGUGCUGCAUGGCUGUCGUCAGCUCGUGUCGUGAGAUGUUGGGUUAAGUCCCGCAACGAGCGCAACCCUCACUUUUAGUUGCCACCAUUAAGUUGGGCACUCUGAAAGAACUGCCAGUGAUAAGCUGGAGGAAGGUGGGGAUGACGUCAAGUCCUCAUGGCCCUUACGUGUUGGGCUACACACGUGCUACAAUGGUAUCUACAACAGGAAGCAAGACGGCGACGUUAAGCAAAUCCUUAAAAGAUACCUCAGUUCGGAUUGCACUCUGCAACUCGAGUGCAUGAAGCUGGAAUUACUAGUAAUCGUGGAUCAGCGUGCCACGGUGAAUGCGUUCCCGGGUCU